Long non-coding RNA from Phyllopteryx taeniolatus (common seadragon), 959 nucleotides. RefSeq lists it as uncharacterized. The transcript is spliced from 5 exons. The record is from RefSeq and is a predicted model, not a curated record. NCBI's taxonomy places the organism in Eukaryota, Metazoa, Chordata, Actinopteri, Syngnathiformes, Syngnathidae.
GUGCGGAAAUUGCUGCUCUCCUUCACGUGGAACUUGUCUCCGUUCUGCUCGAUGGUGAUUUUCAAGUUGUCGUGGGAGGCCAGUUUCCUCUUCACCAAGUUGAUACCUGUCAACACACACACCACAUGUUCCAGGUGAGCUGGAGCUUAUCCCGUCCGACCUUGUGCUUGUGACCUUUGGCUCAAGACGGAGCAGACUCAUCAUCAGUAGAAUUAUCACCGUUUGCAGUUUUGAUGCCCUCUCACAUGUCAGUCAUGCAGGAUAAUCGUUUGGAGACAUUCGACAAUCGGACCUUUGCUGACUUUCACCACAAGGGAGGGAAAAUGCUCCAAUUUGCCCCAAUCGUCGUUAUGUGAUUCUUUGUGCUUUGGAAGCACCGGCUCAGUAAACAGUUGGUCAUUUUUACACUUGUCGCCCGUAGUUAAUCAAGGGAAUUUCACGACACACAUGAGCGGGCCCUUUCUCACCUGCAGUACCGAGGCAUCCUCUGGCCAAUCACCCCCGUCACCACCUCCCCCGUGUGGAUCCCGAUGGUAAUCUGCAAAAAAAAACAACGUUUCCAUAACAGCUCCAGAAGAGGCACUUUGUAAGUAAUCAACCGACUAUUUCCGUGUCAAGCGGUGGGCACUGUGGUGGUCUUCAGAGCGUGACGGCGCUCUUGUGUGCGAGAUGAAUGAAUGAGAAUCUAUUUUUAGCUCAGUAGUGUGAGAUGAUUUGAGUGUUUUUGCUCUGAAAUUCCACUCCUCGGCGGCACGGUGGACGACUGGUUAGAGCGUCAGCCUCACAGUUCUGAGGAGCUGGGUUCAAUCCCCGGCCCCGGCUGUGUGGAGUUUGCAUGUUCUCCCCGUGCCUGCGUGGGUUUUCUCUGGGCACUCCGGUUUCCUCCCACAUCCCAAAAACAUGCAUGAAUUGGAGACUCUAAAUUGCCCGUAGGCAUGACUGUGAGUGCGAAUGGUUGU